CCUGGUGAUUAUGGCGCAGGGCCCCCACCCGUUCCCAUCUCGAACACGGUCGUUAAAUCCUGCAGCGCCGAUGGUACUACGUCUCAAGGCGUGGGAGAGUAGGUCGUCGCCAGGC
RNAcentral lists this ribosomal RNA (115 nucleotides) under Aquisalinus flavus. Lineage: Bacteria; Pseudomonadati; Pseudomonadota; Alphaproteobacteria; Parvularculales; Parvularculaceae. The record is from RNAcentral.